This 21-nucleotide microRNA is filed under the name Eptesicus fuscus (big brown bat). RNAcentral describes it as "efu-miR-150". Its record names the gene efu-miR-150. The record is from miRBase by way of RNAcentral. Lineage: Eukaryota; Metazoa; Chordata; Mammalia; Chiroptera; Vespertilionidae.
UCUCCCAACCCUGUACCAUGG